CCAACCAUAGCUCAGUUGGUAGAGCGGAGGAUUGUAGCUUAAUCCUUAGGUCACUGGUUCGAAUCCGGUAGGUCGGA
Papaver somniferum (opium poppy) is the source of this 77-nucleotide non-coding RNA. NCBI's taxonomy places the organism in Eukaryota, Viridiplantae, Streptophyta, Magnoliopsida, Ranunculales, Papaveraceae. The record is from the annotation of a RefSeq genome assembly.